AACGAACCCUGGCGGCAGGCUUAACACAUGCAAGUCGAACGCAUGCCUUCGGGCAUGAGUGGCAGACGGGUGAGUAACGCGUGGGAACCUACCCCUUGGUACGGGAUAGCUCCGGGAAACUGGAGAUAAUACCGUAUGUGUCCUGAGGGACAAAGAUUCAUCGCCAAGGGAUGGGCCCGCGUCGGAUUAGCUAGUUGGUGGGGUAACGGCCUACCAAGGCGACGAUCCGUAGCUGGUCUAAGAGGAUGAUCAGCCACAUUGGGACUGAGACACGGCCCAAACUCCUACGGGAGGCAGCAGUGGGGAAUAUUGGACAAUGGGCGCAAGCCUGAUCCAGCCAUGCCGCGUGAGUGAUGAAGGCCCUAGGGUUGUAAAGCUCUUUCACCGGUGACGAUAAUGACGGUAACCGGAGAAGAAGCCCCGGCUAACUUCGUG
RNAcentral lists this ribosomal RNA (435 nucleotides) under uncultured bacterium. Its description in RNAcentral is "partial 16S ribosomal RNA". It matches the Rfam family "Bacterial small subunit ribosomal RNA", at positions 29 to 507 of the family's 1533-position model. The record is from RNAcentral.